AGUGAACGCUGGCGGCAGGCCUAACACAUGCAAGUCGAGCGGCAGCGCGGGGGCAACCCUGGCGGCGAGCGGCGGACGGGUGAGGAAUUCGUCGGAAUCUGCCUUUUUGUGGGGGAUAACGUAGGGAAACUUACGCUAAUACCGCAUACGUCCUACGGGAGAAAGUGGGGGACCGCAAGGCCUCACGCAGAAAGAUGAGCCGACGACCGAUUAGCUAGUUGGUGGGGUAAAGGCCCACCAAGGCGACGAUCGGUAGCUGGUCUGAGAGGAUGAUCAGCCACACUGGGACUGAGACACGGCCCAGACUCCUACGGGAGGCAGCAGUGGGGAAUAUUGGACAAUGGGCGCAAGCCUGAUCCAGCCAUGCCGCGUGUGUGAAGAAGGCCUUCGGGUUGUAAAGCACUUUUGUCCGGAAAGAAAUCCCUGGAGCUAAUACCUUCGGGGGAUGACGGUACUGGAAGAAUAAGCACCGGCUAACUUCGUG
RNAcentral lists this ribosomal RNA (484 nucleotides) under uncultured bacterium. Its description in RNAcentral is "partial 16S ribosomal RNA". It matches the Rfam family "Bacterial small subunit ribosomal RNA", at positions 29 to 507 of the family's 1533-position model. The record is from RNAcentral.